Molecule: long non-coding RNA, 531 nt
Filed under: Physcomitrium patens
Lineage: Eukaryota; Viridiplantae; Streptophyta; Bryopsida; Funariales; Funariaceae
Description: long non-coding RNA (PPAT_LNC003006)
Source: RNAcentral
UGGAGACAAACUUUUCCCAUUAGCAUGAGCAGUUUCCAAGAAGUACUAAAUUUCUCUGAAUCUCUCCAAGAAUCAGGGUAGAACUGUGAAGUACCAAACAGCCCUUAGUUCGCUACAUGCCCACCCUGUUGCGUCAAAAUUUGCCAGGUUGAAAAGCAUUCUCAUGACUACCUUUAAUGGCUUCCAUGCUAUGUUCUGACGUUGAUUUGCACAAUAAUGGAGUAGGCACUCCAUCUGCUUAGAGCUGCAACUAUUUCUUCCAACGACGCGAUUAGCAAUAUUUGAAAUUGUUGGUGUAAUCGAGGAAUGACCUGUGUCUGGAUUAACUGCGGAUGCCAUUAAGCAUGCUGUCGAAGCGGACACGAUUGCAUAGCAUACAUGCCUCACAAUCGGAGAGGUUUAUAGAAUAGGCAACACAUGAAAAGCGCAUGGGCUUCUGAGUACCCUGCCGGUAGUGUAAAUGGCAGACUGUUUCAGAAGGUAGGUUCCCGAGGAAUUCAGAGUAAGAUGACAGGGCAAGACAGGAUGCAG